GCCUGAUCCAGCAAUGCCGCGUGGAUGAAGAAGGUCUUCGGAUUGUAAAGUCCUUUUGGCGGGGACGAUGAUGACGGUACCCGCAGAAUAAGCUCCGGCUAACUUCGUGCCAGCAGCCGCGGUAAUACGAAGGGGGCUAGCGUUGCUCGGAAUGACUGGGCGUAAAGGGCGCGUAGGCGGACGGCACAGUCAGGCGUGAAAUUCCUGGGCUCAACCUGGGGACUGCGUCUGAGACGUGUUGUCUUGAGUAUGGAAGAGGGUUGUGGAAUUUCCAGUGUAGAGGUGAAAUUCGUAGAUAUUGGAAAGAACACCGGUGGCGAAGGCGGCAACCUGGUCCAUUACUGACGCUGAGGCGCGAAAGCGUGGGGAGCAAACAGGAUUAGAUACCCUGGUAGUCCACGCUGUAAACGAUGUGUGCUGGAUGUUGGGGUGCUUAGCACUUCAGUGUCGUAGCUAACGCGGUAAGCACACCGCCUGGGGAGUACGGCCGCAAGGUUGAAACUCAAA
RNAcentral lists this ribosomal RNA (507 nucleotides) under uncultured Alphaproteobacteria bacterium. Its description in RNAcentral is "bacterial SSU rRNA". It matches the Rfam family "Bacterial small subunit ribosomal RNA", at positions 381 to 905 of the family's 1533-position model. The record is from RNAcentral. Lineage: Bacteria; Pseudomonadati; Pseudomonadota; Alphaproteobacteria.